Long non-coding RNA from Myotis brandtii (Brandt's bat), 456 nucleotides. RefSeq lists it as uncharacterized. The record is from RefSeq and is a predicted model, not a curated record. Lineage: Eukaryota; Metazoa; Chordata; Mammalia; Chiroptera; Vespertilionidae. The transcript is spliced from 4 exons.
GAACGUGUGCACCUGCCCAGCAGGAACUUGUCAGGUUUUACUGGCCUUGUGAAGGACUCCUUUGUUUUCUUGUCCCAGGAAGAUUUUAUAUGGCAGCACAGAUGAAAAAAUGCAAGAACACCUCAAAGCAGACUGGCUUCUACAGCAGCAAACACCUAUCAACAGCCUGCCCCCAAUUCACCCUUCCUUUUUGAAGAAAUGAACAGAACCUAAGAUUUCUGACAUCAUAUCUUUGGGAUCUUCACAGUAGGGAAGUGCUGGCCUUGGAGUCCAAAGAUUUUCCCAGCUAUCAUUUGAAUUAAGGAUUGUGGUGUUUUCUUCUGUAAACAGAUUGCUUCAGCGCCAAAAGAAUGAACUAGAAAAGAACAGGCAAGACAUAGGAGUGUUAUACGGAAGAAAGAUAUUAAGAGACUUAAAGAUGUACUUCCUCAUUAUAUGUAAGAAAGCUAUUUCUUA